RNAcentral lists this transfer RNA (73 nucleotides) under Flavobacteriaceae bacterium. RNAcentral describes it as "tRNA-Gly". It matches the Rfam family "tRNA". Rfam says of the family: Transfer RNA (tRNA) molecules are approximately 80 nucleotides in length. Their secondary structure includes four short double-helical elements and three loops (D, anti-codon, and T loops). The record is from RNAcentral. Lineage: Bacteria; Pseudomonadati; Bacteroidota; Flavobacteriia; Flavobacteriales; Flavobacteriaceae.
GCGAGAGUAGCUCAGUUGGUAGAGCAUCAGCCUUCCAAGCUGAGGGCCGCGGGUUCGAAUCCCGUCUCUCGCU